RNAcentral lists this ribosomal RNA (253 nucleotides) under uncultured bacterium. RNAcentral describes it as "partial 16S ribosomal RNA". It matches the Rfam family "Bacterial small subunit ribosomal RNA", at positions 524 to 776 of the family's 1533-position model. The record is from RNAcentral.
UACGUAGGGGGCAAGCGUUGUCCGGAUUUACUGGGCGUAAAGAGCAUGUAGGCGGCCAAACAGGUCCGUUGUGAAAACUGGAGGCUCAACCUCCAGACGUCGACGGAAACCGUAUGGCUAGAGUCCGGAAGAGGAGAGUGGAAUUCCUGGUGUAGCGGUGAAAUGCGCAGAUAUCAGGAAGAACACCUAUGGCGAAGGCAGCUCUCUGGGACGGUACUGACGCUGAGACGCGAAAGCGUGGGGAGCGAACAGG